Molecule: ribosomal RNA, 305 nt
Filed under: uncultured bacterium
Lineage: Bacteria
Description: bacterial SSU rRNA
Rfam family: Bacterial small subunit ribosomal RNA
Source: RNAcentral
CCUACGGGAGGCAGCAGUGGGGAAUAUUGCACAAUGGGGGAAACCCUGAUGCAGCGACGCCGCGUGGGCGACGAAGCGCUCCGGCGCGUAAAGCCCUGUCAGCAGGGAAGAACAAAGACAGUACCUGACCAAGAAGCCCCGGCUAACUACGUGCCAGCAGCCGCGGUAAUACGUAGGGGGCAAGCGUUAUCCGGAAUUACUGGGUGUAAAGGGAGCGUAGACGGCUGUGCAAGUCUGGAGUGAAAGGCGGGGGCCCAACCCCCGGACUGCUCUGGACACUGUAUGGCUGGAGUGCAGGAGAGGUA